This 253-nucleotide ribosomal RNA is filed under the name uncultured bacterium. Its description in RNAcentral is "partial 16S ribosomal RNA". It matches the Rfam family "Bacterial small subunit ribosomal RNA", at positions 524 to 776 of the family's 1533-position model. The record is from RNAcentral.
UACGAAGGGGGCUAGCGUUGCUCGGAAUCACUGGGCGUAAAGCGCACGUAGGCGGCUUCUUAAGUCAGGGGUGAAAUCCUGGAGCUCAACUCCAGAACUGCCUUUGAUACUGGCGGACUCGAGUCCGGGAGAGGUGAGUGGAACUGCGAGUGUAGAGGUGAAAUUCGUAGAUAUUCGCAAGAACACCAGUGGCGAAGGCGGCUCACUGGCCCGGUACUGACGCUGAGGUGCGAAAGCGUGGGGAGCAAACAGG